This is a microRNA precursor of Loxodonta africana (African savanna elephant), 52 nucleotides long. It matches the Rfam family "mir-1302 microRNA precursor family". NCBI's taxonomy places the organism in Eukaryota, Metazoa, Chordata, Mammalia, Proboscidea, Elephantidae. The record is from Rfam.
AUUUUAGUAUAAGUAUGUCCCAUGCAAUAUUUGGAACAAACUUAUACUAAAA